CUUAUCUGUCUCUAAACUUAGGGACCCUCCAUAACAAUUUUUAGCUCUUUCUUCCAUUGCCCUCAUGGCUAUGACAUAGUCUGGCAAAGGCUUGCUCGUACGGUCUAGAAGUUCUCUGAGAUAGCGUGUUUUGUGCACCUCAAAGGUCGAUAAUUCUUCUUUACCGUGAUGAUAAGGACCAAUUGCUAGCAUUUUUGGUUCAUAAGCCUUUUCAUUUAACUUACGCAGUACAUCAGGCACCUUAAAAAUGUUGAACCGAUCAGAUGGUGUAGCAGUUAGACCAUCAAGCUUUUCCUUAACAAGAUCAAGUACUCUGUCAGCUGAUGGACUUGCCAUGCCUUGAUCUGCAUUUUAAGUCACAGGAUCAAAAUUUCAAAAAUGUUGAAAUCUGUAUAUCCAUAAUUAUUGACAACCACAGAAGACACAAGUACUUGAAUUUUUCAUAAAAGCUACUAUGAUUGUCAGGAAUUAUGUUUGAAUUUUAAUAAAUCUAGCUAACACCUAGUGAUAGAUAAUAGUUUCGACAUCUAAGAAUUAUACUACUUGCACAGCAGGAGGGAGUGAAACAAAAUCAUCAAUAUUCAACAAUAACCCAUUAAUUGAAUGACCAAAAACAACUCAAAAAGUUAUAUAUUUGUUUCGAUUUCAAUUCUUUAUAUCCUUAGUAAUAGUUCCUACAGCACUAAGCCAGAUCAUGGAUCUCUACUGUCACACGACUAAAGAAACCAAGCAGAAUUCACACGAAGUCGAUUAAUGCUUCAGAGUUAUAAGAUAUAUUAUUCUAAACAAUUUUGUAAUAACUUACUCGUUUGAAGGCUACCGUUCCUGUUGCUUAACGAGAUCGCAAUCUUACCGGUGCAAUGACGAGAUCCCAGUCUUACCGUUGCAAGGAAUUCGAUCCUUUGUUUUCUUUUGAUGAAAUAAAGUAGUAGAAUGUUUACUAAUAAUACAAAGGAGACUUCACGCGGGUGUGGGCUCCAAUCCGAAAAUUUAAAAUAUUUUAAAAUGAUUCUGACCAUAAAUUCAGCAUUCAACAAAGCUCAAUUUUACAACAUUACCCCUUCAACUGUAAACUUUCUUGAACACUCUUCUUUCUCCCUCAAUUGUUUCUCUUCUUUUCAAAAAAAAUAAAAGAAAAGAAAAAUUGUUUCUCCUCAAUCUGAUGAAAAGCCACUUGAAACCAGAGCUCUUUUUUUUUUUUUUUAUAGUAAAAAUCUGUUUCAGAAUAUCAUCGAACAAGUUCUCUAGCUUAAAAUUAUCUUGACAAAUCUUUUUUAAUUUUUACUUUUUUUAUUAAAUAUACAUUUCACAAUAUCACAUGAAUUACAUACACAAGUAAAUUUUUUUAAUUUAAGCUAAAAAAGGAAGCCUAAUUCAUUUUACCAUCCGGCCAACCGAAAGUUAUUAUAGACUUAUAAUGUUCUUAAAAUUCACUCAAUAUACAAUUUAUUUCUUUAUUUUUAUUUUUUAUUGAAUGUAUCCCAAUAUUCACUUGUUUUUUUUAUUUUGAGUGAUUGUCUCACUCGCUGAUUCUAGAUUCGACAUGUGUCCCAUAACACAUCUUUUAUAUUUACCGAAAAGCACACUCGUAUUUUUGUCUUUUGCAUCAUUAUUUUAUUUGACUUAAACAUCAUCCUAUAACCUCACAAUAAUUACUUACACAAGUGAAUUUUAAUUUAAACUUAAAGCUUACUUGAUUUUAAUAAUUUUUAGAUUAUUUGAGUCAUUCUAUGUAGUAAAAGACUGUGUAUUUGUUUAAUAAUUAUAUUAUACAGUUUGUUAAAUUAUUUGGUCCUUUUUCAUUGUCAUUGAAAAAGAAUCUUUGAAAUUAUGUUUCCAUAAUUAUUAAAUUAAAUGGGUGCAUAUAAUGCUAAAUUUAUUAUAUAAAAUGUUAUUGUUUAUAUUUAUCCUUGCCCCAUUUUGAUCUUGUUAUGUUUGGAAUAUUUUACUCUAGCUAACUCUCCAAAUAAUUGAAAAGGUAUCAAGAAACAAUUUGUUUGUUUGUUGUUUGUUUAUUUAUUUAAAUCUAUGUGUGGUUCAAAAAAAAAAAAAUUCAUGGAACUUAGAUAACUACAAAUAUAGUUCAAAUAAAUUUCUAAGUUUCUGGCUUCUCUGGGACUUGAGAUAAGUAGUUGAAAGUAAUUUCUUGAAAUUUAGGAGAAGUAAUUGGAACAAUUUUGGAGAAACAGUUGACGUGUUUGAUCAAAAGUAUUUUGCUUAAACUUUGAAAGGACAUUGUGGUAAAUAAAAAGUGGCAGGGCUUUAAUUAUAAUAAAUAUAUGGGAUGAUAGUUAAAUCAAGUAAGACAAUGAAUAUAAUAGACAAAAUAAACAAUAGAUAAGUAUAAAACUAUAAAUGAUGUUUGGACCUGCCGCCUAUGGUACAGAUUCUGUACCUAACAUCUCCCCCCGUCAUCCCACCAUCCCAUUUUCUAUUGUUUAAUUUCUCACUCCACAUCCAACGACAUCCAACGGCUGAUGCUGCAGUCUGUAGCUUACUGAUUCUGUAAGCUAGUCGAGUCCAUGAUGUUUAUGGAGCCUACAACACUUUUUAUCUCUCACGUGUCAAAUGCAAAAUGAGAGACCAUAGCAUUCGUCUUUUAUUUUUUUCUGCUUUUCUUUUAAGAUUGACACUUUUUCCUCAUCGGCAUCACUUUCUACAAAUCAAUUCUAUUGGUAUAAGAUUGUUUUAUACCUUAAUUAAGGUCUUUGGUAAGUAUAGUUGUAUUAAAUAUUUUUUGAGAGAAUUUUAUCUUAAUGAAGAAUACGAAGUUUUUUUUUUUUUACUAUAAUCUAUUUUGUAAAUAGUAAUUAAAAAAAUGAUUUCAAAUUUUUAGGUAAAAAUUAUUAUUACCACUUUUUUGGCUAAAACUUUUUCAAUGGAUGUGAAAAAGUUCAAUAAUAAAGGCGAACAAACUUUUUGAUUUGGCCACCAAUAGCACUAUACGAGUGCAAAGGAACGUAUGAUCUGGAGUUCUGGACUGACUUAGCCAUUAUGAGUCCUUUUGAAUAAUAUUGUUUUGCUGCAUUUUGGAGGACUUAAAACUUACUUUCCAACUUCAUUGAAUGUUCUUCAAAGGAAAAAUAAAAAAUGAUCUUGCAUAGAUUUUUUCUUCUAAUUACUUGGGAGAACGUUUCGGUAAUGGUUUUGAUGGCUUUCCUCAGUAGAUUAAUUUAUUAUUUAGUUUGCUUUUGAGUUUUAGUACUUUUAAGUCUUUGUAGCUAAUUGACGUUCGCAAUAGAACUAGCAAUAAAUUAAAUUAUUUAACAGAAAGAAGCAUAUCCUAUCCAAAAAAAAAGAAAGAAAGAAGCAUAUAGUAUUCACAUCUUCAUCAGAUAUCAGAAUAAAUAAAUUAUUGUGGUGUAAAACUUCUGUACAAUUUCCAUCCAUCACCUGUUAUAUGUUUAUCCAAAAUCCAAUUCAGAGAGGAAGCAUCACCACUAGUCCACUAGGGCACACUAGAAUAAGAUCACUGUGUAAAAGCAAAGUAUAUAUGAACUGAUAGUGAAAUUUACUUGUUAAUUCCUAUAUUAAACGAAUUAAAUCCCAUGUUUCAAUAAUAAACUUGUUAAUUUCAAAUCACAGAUGCAGCACAACUACUGAUAACUAAGAUGAAAGCAAUGUGUAAGUAUGAACUGAACUACGAACUAGCUGUGAAACUUACUUGUUAAAGGCUGCCUGCCUGGCCUUGCUCACUUAAUCUCCGAUCUUCUUUGCGGUGCUAGCUAACUCCUUAGUAAUUUCCUUACGGAAUGAAAACUUCGGUAGCCAAUGGCUCAUACUUAUAUACAGUAGUUAUUUGUCCAGUAGUUAAGACUCUAUUGCCUUGUGACUCAUACUUAUUUGUCCAGUAGUUAAGAUUCUAUGUCUUGGGUAGCUGUAAUCUAACGGUUCUGAUUUAACUCACUAUUCAUUCUCAAAACCCCAGUCAUUAAAUUUCACUCAUUAUAAUCUAACGGUUCCCAACAAACUGAUAAAUAAGGGGGGCACGGUGCCUAAGGGGCUGGUAGCUGGACCCAUAUUUUCCAAUGAUAUAAAUACACAAAAAGCCAAAGGCCAAAAAAUAAACGAAGGAGGGUCAUAAAUAUCUCUCCUCGUGGCUGGUGAGAUUGGCUGUAGUUAUCAUUUUUACAUUUCAAAAGCCACCGUACUUGUCAACAGUCAUAAUUACAUGUUUGCAUGUACUCCAAUCUUGCCUGCCAAUAAAACAUUUUGAGGAGUGCUAGAAACAGUCGCUUGUUUCUUGUGUUGACACGUAUUUUUCUUUUCAGUUCAUUUAUGGCUAUUUAAUUUUACCAUAAUAUCCUUAUUAAAUCUUCUUCCAUGAAGCGCUUUUUUUUUUUUUUUUUUUUUUAAAGAGAAAGAGAGAAUAAUGGAGGUGAGGCUCUCCAUUUUAUGGUGGCAGCAGAGGAAUCCCAUGCAUCCAUCCGCCUUUUUCUAUGAAGCUUUAAUUUAAUAAGUUCUUAUGAAAAUUUUUCUUUUUAGAAAAAGUUAAAACAAAAACCCAGCUUAAGAGAUGACUAUCCUGAAAUUUGCAAGACUUCUGAUUUUUAUUUUUUUGGUGUUAUACUGAAGAUUUUAUUUAUAAGCAGAUCUAAACCCUUUUUGAAUGGUUGAAAAAAUUGGAGCAACUUUUUGUUGGGUGGGUAUUUUUGUUGGGGAAGAAUGAAAGUGGUUCGAAGAGUUAUUGAUGAGUAAUGGGUGAGAGUGAAUUUGAGAGUGAGGAUAAUGGCCAUUGAUGAAAUGGCGAAAUCGAGUGAGUUUAGUGAGACACAGAGGGAGAAGGCUUGAGGGCCCGAAAUGGAUGGAGGAAAAAUUGAGGAAGAGAAGAAUGAAAAAUGGAUUGAAGGAUAAAUCUGUAAUUUAAAAAUGAUGUUUUUUUAUAAUGAAUAAAAGUUUGGAGUGUUACGCAACUACAAAACUGACAUCUUUAUAAUAAAUACAAACAUAUUAUUAAAAUAAAUACAAUAAUUUAAAAUUUUAAUAUUACUUUAAAUGUUAAAAAUAAUUUAGUAUUAUUAAUCUACUAAAAAGAUUAUAUUAUUUUAUAUUACAUCUGUGUUAAUUAAAAACUUUUAAAGUUAAUCUUAUAAUUAUUUCAUUCAAAGGAUAUUAUAAUUAAAAAAAUAAUUUUAAUGUUCUUUUUUUUAAAUUUAAGAGUUUUCGUGAUUAUUUUUUAAAAUUUUGCAAGUUUACGUAUCUUUUUAUCCUUUAGCAUAUGAAAAAAUAAUAUGUUUUAUUAUAAAAAAAUUUAAUAUUAAAUUUAGUAGGUUUGAUUAUAAAACUUAUUAUGUGUCCAUUUUAAAAUCUCAGUACCGUACAUCCGCCUUGGCCGUACAGCAGCUCAGCACUUUAAUAUAUUGAGAUAGAGUAAUGAUAAAGUCAAAAAUUUUUGUAUAAAUUUAUUUUAUAUAAACUUAAAUGAAAAUAUAAAAUAGUAAAAAUAAAUUAUGUAAAUCUAGAUAUAUUUAAUUUAAUUAAUUUUAAAAUACCACAAUAAUUUAUAUAAAAUAAAAUUUUAUAUCAUAAUUUGUGGAUAUUAGGAUAAUUCCGCACAAUUGCUUCUCAAGAAAAAGAUCAAGGAUCAGGUAGACAAAAUGUGUGGUAGCUAUGGUGUACACAGUACACGUCACCUCAAUUGACAAUUAGUGGGAGUGAAAAAAUCUAGCAAAAGUCUGCUGAAAAUGGGUUACGUAACAUAUGUCGGUUAGGUGAAAAUGGUGGUUAAAACUUAAAAUCAAGGGUCCGCUUAUAAUAGAGUGCUGUGUAUUGCAACGUGUCUUCUCUCUCUUCAGAAAAUGAGCACACGUGAAUUUUAAAUUGAGCCCACGAUCAGUUUAAAAAAUUAAACUAAACAUUGCACGUGAUAGUUGAGGACAAAAAAUUAAAUUAAUUUUUUUAUUAUGAAGUAUGUAUUAUUUUUAACAUCUAUUUAACAUAUAUAUUCUUUUAACUUUAUAUUUAUCUUACAAUUAAUAUCUUUACAUGAUAGGAAUUUGAAGUUUUAUAAGCCUAUAUAUUUUCAUUUUAAUUGCAAAUAUCACUUUAUUAAUUUCACAAAAAUUAAAUCUAAUAUGAACCGUGAAAGAUUAUUUUAUUAAUAUCAUUUGAUUGUAAUUAUAAAAUUUUAUAUUAUUAAGAAUCACUACUUUUGUUAUGAUAAUUAAUAGUGACAAUAAAUAAAAUAUUACAUCCAAUAAUAUUUACAUGGGAAAAAAAGUGAAAGAAAAUUAUUUAUAUUUUUAGAUUUUUAUUGAUAUGAUAGAAAAUUAUCUCAGCCUUAUAAAAUUUAACUUUUACAAGUUUGUUUUCAUUUUAUUUUCAAAUGUCACUUUGUUAAGUUCAUAAAAAUUAAAUCUAACACAUAUUCCUAAUUAACUUUAGUUUAUAAAUUAUGGAAGAUAAUUUUAUUGUUAUUCUUUAAUAGUAAUUAUAAAAUUUUAUGCUACAAAAAGUCAUUACUUUUAUUAUGAUAAUGAAUAGUGACAAUAAGUAAAAUAUUACAUCAAAUAAUAUUUAAUGGAAAAAAUGAGGUUGGGAUACUUUAACUUAAAAUUUUGGCACAAUAUUUGAGCCACUAAUAUCUCAUAGUCUAAUGGUUGAUAUUGAAAGUCAAAACAACAUUUCAUAAUGUUAUAUCCUCCACCAUUGAAUUGCAUGAAAUAAAUAGUUUAAUUUUUUGAUAAAAAAUAAAAUCAAAAUAUUUCUCACUCUAUAAUUAUAUAGAGAUAUAUAUUUUUCAAUAAUAAUUGGUUAAUAAAAUAUUUCUUAUUUGUUGUGACUCAUAUAGUAUUAUUAAUAAAACACAUAUAAAAUAGUUUAUUGCAAUGCUUUCUAUUAUCAUUAUUGUUUAGGUAUUAAUGGUUUGUAAUUAAAUUUAUACAAUACAAAUUAUUACAAGACUUUGUGUUAAAUAUACUUGAUAUUAUAUUUUAUACUUAAUGGUAACUGAUUUUGGAAGAUUUAUUUAAAAGAGAUUAUCAUAUUACAAAUUUAAAGGAGGGCUGAAAAGUAAUUUUAAAUAAAUAUACUAUUUAAGUGGAAUUGUUUCAAACUCUAAGGGUGGUUACAAUUAUUUUACAAAAAUUAUCCACCCACUUGAACUGUUACAAUUAUUUUUAAAUUAUUUUUUAGUACAAAUAUUGUAUACCAUUAAUUAGAUCUAAUGGUUCACAAGUGAUACAUUAUUGAUGCUGUAAAAAACUUUACAGCACAUAGAGUAACCCAACCCUUAUUUGAUUUUAUGGAUUAAUAAGUGGAAGUUCCACUAUUGCUUAAGUAAUGGAUUUCAUUAAUUUUGAAUAUUGGUUUUGCUAUUCAGCCAAAAAGCUCUGGAAGGGUGGGCGAAGACAGAGAAGCUUCCGUUUAAAAUAAAAAAUUAUAUAUAUUAUUUGAAUUUUAUUUGUUUGUACAAUUAGUUCAACCAAAUGCUUCAUUUUGAUUAAUAACAAACUAACUUUUAAUAUUUUGCUUGGUGAAUGGUGAUAAAGAGCUUCACGUCCCAGUAUAUGAUUUAGGUUUUAGAUUAAACAUAUUAAAAAGCCAAAGGCAAGAAAAUAAUUUUUAUUCAUCAGCUAUCUUCUAUUUUAUAAUGAUAUAAAUACGCAAAUUAUCCUAACAAUUACAAUAGAAAGUUAAAAGGAAAAUAAAUGAAAGAGAAUAGUAAUUAUCUGGUGGGAUUGAUGGUAGUUACGAUUAUGUCUAUUACAUUUUAAAAGUCAUCAUUACAUGACAUCAUUACAUUUUUGUAUGUGCUCCAUAAUUAUUAUGCUAGCUGCCAAUAAAACAUUUUUUUCCAUUUUCCAGCAUAUGUUUGGAAUUGCAUUAGCCUAUGGAGAGAUCAAUUCUUAAUAAUAAAUUAAUGUCAUCAUCAAUAAUCCGUCUUGGGAUUUUCAUAAUCCGCUUUCAAACUUUAGAUCGAACAAAAAUUUUACCCUUUUAGAGAUAUUUAUAAUUAAAAAAAAAAGUGAAAUAUUUUUUGUGGGAUAGAUUAAUAAUAUUUUCAUAGGAGAAAAAAAAGAUACAUACAUCCUCAAGAUUUAAAAAAAUAGUCAUAGAACAUCUUAAAUUUUUAAUAAGGGACACUAAAAUUCCAUUUUCACCAUGACCCUUUGACACUAUAAACUCAAAAUAUUGACCCCCAAAAAUUUUAUAAUAAAUAGAAAUAUGACAUUAAAAUAAAUAUAAUAAUAUAUAUUUAAAAUAAUUUUACAAUCUAUUAGAUUUUUUAAAAUUUUAAUAUUACUUUAAAUAUUAAAAAUAAUUUAAUAUUAUUAAUCUACUAGAAAGAUUAUAUUAUUUAUAUUAUGCUUGUAUUAAUUAAAAAUCUUUAAAGUUAAUCUUAUAAUUAUUUUAUUCAAAGGAUAUUAUAAUUAAAAAAUAAUUUUAGUGUUCUUUUUUUAAAAUUUAAGAGUUUUCAUGAUUAUUUUUUGCAAUUUUGAAAGUGUAGAUGUCUUUUUAUCCUUUGGAAUGUGAUAAAAUAAUAUGUUUUAUUAUAAAAAAUUUUAAUAUUAAAUUUAGUAGGUUUGAUUAUGAAAUUUGUUAUGUGUCCCAUUUAAAAUCUCAGUACUCCAGUACAUUGAGAUACUAGGACAAUUACGCACAAUUGCUUCUCAAGAAAAAGAUCAAGGAUCGGACGGACAAAAUAUGUGGUAAUUAUGGUGUACAAGUUACCUCAAUUAUUGGGAGUGAAAAAAUCUAGCAAAAGUCUGCUGAAAAUGGGUUACGUAACAUAUGUGGCCUAAGUGAAAUAUUUCAAGCAAAUAUUAAUCUGAUCAGAUUAAACUAAAAGACUACCAAAGACCCCCCCAACUUAACAUAAAAAAUAGGGCCUAAGUGAAAUAUUUAACAGAUUAUGAUAAUUAUGAAUAAAAGAUUAAGAAUUAUGAAUGCCUAUUAAAACUCAAUUGGAAGAGGAUUUGUGUUUUGUUGUCUUCAGCAUUGAAGAUUUGCAAAUGUGAAACAUCAUGGUUAGUUGUAGGCUUUAGAGAUUCUAGAUGUAGGAAACGAAGUUAUUGAGUUAAAUUGUUUUUUAAAUUAGAAUAAGGAUUCUGAAGAACAAAAUAAUUAAUUUGAUUAAAUAUACUUAAGCCGCCAACUCUUUUAAUUAUAUAUAUACAUAUAGACACACACACACACAUAGGAUAGGGUUUAAUGUGGGCUUUUUUAUAAAAUAAAAUUACAAGGGACUUAAAUAAAUACAGUUAACAUUAAAAUUAACAACCUACGCUAAAUAAAUAAUUGAAUUUAGGAGGAAAGUUUAGUUCAAGGGACUCUCGCCCCCUGUGGUCACUCGUUGGAUUCAUCAAUGUUCAUACGAAUAUUGGAGCCCCUACGCACCUGCGAACCAAACAUUUACUUAUCAGAACAAAAACGAAGGGAAGAAGGGAAUAUCGUAUAGCAAUUGGAACGGUAGCAUUCAAACAAGUUGGCUCUGAUUAAAAAUUGUAUAAUAUAAUUUGUAUCUUAUAACUUUGAAGCAUUAAUCGACUUAUUAAAUGAUUUCCCUUGCAUGGUAUUGUACCCUUGAAUUUUGCUUCUUUUCUUUAGCCGUGUGAGACACAGGAUCCCUGAUCUGGCUCAGUGCUUAUUCUCUUUAAAUGUUGAAACUAUUAUCAAUCACUUGCUUGUCCCGGAAUUUAUUAAACUGCAGUCUUAAUUACUGACAUUUAAACGCAAAAUUCCAAGUACUUGUGUGGCACUUUUAAUUUGGUUGUCCACAAUUUAGUAAAAUUCAGAUUUCAACAUUUGUGCCUCUGUGUAUAUUUAAAUGCAGAUAAAGUCAUGGCAAGUGAACCACCUAACAUGGUACUUGAUCUUGUUGGAGAAAAGCUUCAUCGCCCAACCCCUGCACCUUCUCAAUUCAGCAUUUUCGGAGUCCCAGAUGUACCGCCCAAGUUAAAUGAAAAGGCUUACGAACCAGAAUUACUAGCAAUCGGUCCUUACCAUCACAGUAAACGUCACUUAUCGGCCUUUGAAGAGCACAAAAUCAGCUAUCAUCAAACUCUCAUAGAGCGAACGGGUAUACGUUAUGCAGAGUAUGUGAGGGCAAUGUGGGCACUGGAAGAAAGAGCUCGAAAUUGUUACGGAGGAUCCAUAAGUUUUGGCAAGAACGAGUUUGUUCAAAUGAUGUUUUGUCGAUAGUUGUUUCAUUGUUGAGGUUAUUCGUAAGUUUGGAUUGCCACAUUUGAGAGGAGAUGAUGGCCCCAUUUUUAAACAAGGAUGGAUGUUACCUCAUGUAGGAAGAGAUAUGAUUUUCCUUAACAAUCAACUUCCACUUUUCGUUGUUUGGAAGUUGUUUAUAAUGUCUGAGAUGUCUAAUAUUCCAAGGAACGAAAUUUACACUAUCAAGACAUUCAUGCUUUUAUUCUAGGAACUUUGCAUAUUUGUUGUUUGGUAGAAAAGGAGUGUCACGGAAUAGAGAAAAGUUCCACCCCACCUUUAGUCUGAUAAUAUGCCUCUCUGUUAAGUCUUUAGGUGUCUUGUUUUUAGCAUAUAUAUAGCAGAAGUCCAGCAGCUAACUCGUCCUUUACAUUGAACAAAUCUUAAUUAGCUGAGAAAAAAUUCAUAAGUUGAACAAAUAUUAAUUAGCUGAGAACUAAUCAUGAGUAGUAUUAGGGUCCGUUUGGGCUUGAGGUUGGUCAAUGUGUUUGGUAAACACUAAUCCAGGUACAUUGGUGAAAUCUUGAUCUUUGUACGACUUUUUCGUGAAUCAAUUCCUUAAAUUAGCACAAUAUUUCCCAUGAAGUUAUGCACACACCAAAUCAUGGUUCCUAUUCUAAUCUUAAUUAGACUGCAAGUAAUUCUGCUGUGCGCUCUGGCUUGUAGCAUUUUUUUUGGUCUUUAAUUUCGAAAGAUGAUAAUUAUUGUUAAUUCUUGAAUCACAUUUCAGGCAAGAUGUCGGGAACUGCCUUUACAUGAAGAGAAAGGCAUUAUAUGGCAAGUUUUCGCAGAAAGGUUUGUCCAUUUUCCUUUUUGCUGCAAUUCUGCAUUCUCAACGAAAGUAGUAUAGCAGUUUAUGCAGGCUUUCUACAUUUUUUUUUUUUUCAGUUUCGGAGGAUUUGGUGGCAAAUUGAAAAGGAAACAGAGCAAGGUUACAACAUGCUACUGCAUGAUUUAUUUAUAUCUGGACACUAUUUUAAUGAAAAUACGAAUCUUGGCUAAGCAUUGUUCUCAAAUGGAACGCGAGUGAGAAAAGACAGCUGUUAGGUUCAUCAAGUCAACAAUUCUAUUAAUCUUUGCAAUACAUCAUUGCAUAUAUUUGCAAAUGACUUAAUGACAAAAUCAGUCAGCUGUAAAUUGUUAAAUCGUUUGUGUUUGAUUCAGAGCUACAUCAUCUGAAAGAAUCCUUUGGUCCUUCAAAUGAGUUGAUCAUCUCCCUUCAACGUAGCAACCAACGUAAAACCAUUAACAAUGGUACCUUGUCUAGCACACUGCAACAAGAAGCACAAUUUUUAGCUUCUUACAACUAUGAGAAGAACACUUUGUGGGGAAAACAGGCAAGUAAUAACCUCUGGGAAAACAUUGGGAUGCCGUUAAUAUUAUUAAGCAGAUACUGAUUAUGUCAUUGAAUCUUUGCUUUUGGUUUCAAACCAGAUAGGAUACUUGUACAAAUCUCUGAUAGAAGAUUAUUUUACCGGAUUGAUUUUGCACUGCAAAGGAUGGAAAUCCGUCUUUUGCAAUCCAUCACGGUCAGCAUUCUUAGGAAGUGCUACAUCAAGUUUGAAUGACACAUUGGUUCAAGACACAAGAUGGAACUGCGGUUUGCUUGAAGUCACCUUCUCAAAGUGCUCCCCUCCUCUUUAUGGGCUAUCAAGAAUGCCUUUGCUUCAAACAAUGUGCUAUAGCUACUAUGCUUUGCAGCCAGUCUAAAACAUUGUAACUAUUUAUUUCUCUUCUACUCAGGUUUCAAGUCCAUGGUUUGUGAUCUUUUCAUCUAUUUUCUUAUGUUCACUACUGAAACAUUUGGUGGACGUUCUCGUCACCGGUGGUUCAGUCCAGACGUGGUGUAAUGAACAGAGGAUUUGGAUGAUAAAAUCACUCACUUGAAAUGUUUUUGUAUGAAACAACCUAGUUUCUCGCCCACAAAUAAACUUUCCGAUGAUGAACAAGUCAAGUUACACAAAAUGGGUAAAUUCAACUUCCAAACCUCAACCAAGUUUCUUGCUCCUUUAGCUACCCUAGUCAUGUUGAAUAUGAUUGCUUUUAGUGGAGGAAUUGCUAGAAUGGUGAUUUCGGGGGGCGCAAACGAGUUGCUUGGACAAGUUAUCCUCUCAUUUUACAUCUUACUGGAGAGUUACCCAAUAAUUGAAGGGAUGGCAUGGAGGAAGGAUAAAGGGCAAGUCCCAGCUUCUGUUGGGUUACUCUCUUUUGUUCUCUCCAUCAUUUUCUUGCUUUUGGGUUCCGUGGUUCUCAGGUUAAUUUGAAUUGUGCUAGAGGUUCAGAAUAAAAGCGAAAGGUCACAAUUAUGUGCUUCAUUUUUGAAAUAGUUAAUGCCCCCAUUAACUUCUUAUUGCUUUCAAAUGAUGCCGAUAAAGGCAACAGCCCUGUUUCACAGGAUGACCUAAUAAGAACAAAAUUGCAAAAUACUGGCACCUAUUGCUUAAUUGAAGGUCCUUGCGCUUGUUCAUGACACACUUAAACUCAUUGACUGGGGGCACAAGAAAUUUCGAUACCUUGCAUAUCACCACUUAAUUUUGUUAAUUCAAAUUAAUUCUUGUUCCUUAUGCUGAAGUACAAACGAUUUAUAUUAACCAUUCAAUCAUUUUUCAUCUCUAAUUAAACCAUUUCACCAUUUCAUUUGGAAACAAUUUCACUUUAUAUUAACACCAAGUGCCCUUUUUUAUUCAAUUGAAUAUGCCACUCACAAUGCCCUUUCGUAAACAACCCAAUGCCCGAAAGAUUACAUCUCUCCUUGCUUCCAACGUACUGCAGCAAGAGACCGAAGUUUUAGCCUCCUGCAGUUACGAGCAUCAAACAAAAUCAGGUAAAGAGGCAAGCAACAAGCACAUCAUCUUAUCAACUUAAACAUAGUCAAGUCUUAAUUGCAUUACUAAAUCAUUCUCACAUGCCAUCACAUUACAUCUCUCCUUGCUUUCGAAAUCAGGUGGGUUUUUCGUAUCAAGCUGUUUCGGAAGAUUUCUUUAAUAGCAUUCUAUAAGAGAGAUUGUAUCAUUUUGAAGUUUGAAAUUUUGGAAGAAAACGGCUAUUGAAAUACUUUAUUUUAUUUUCAUAAUUAUGUUUAAACAUACCAAUUAAAAGAUAGUGUUAAGUGAUGCUAAUAUUAUCAUAUCGAAACAUCACGGUCUAUGCAAUUUAUUAAAUUUCAUCACUCAUACUCUUAAACUAAAUAUCAUCUCGGUCAAUAAAAUGAUGUCAAGUUAAACCUCUAUCUAUGUUAGGACAAUACAAUUUGUUAAUAUGAAAGAUCUAAAAGAGUGACGAUUGCUAUCAAUUAUGCCAUUACUGAAGUUAAAUCAUCAAAAGAAGUCUCAUUGUUCAAUUCCCUUUUCAUUAUUCUAAUCUAAGAAGCUCGAUCAAAAUUUAAUCAAUAAAAAUAAAUCAAAAGUCUAACAAAUUUUUACAAUUGUAAGGUUCUCACCAUUAGGUUAGUUGUUAUUGUUACUCCUAUUUAGAACCUAAGGUUGUUUAAGCAUAUUUUAGGUAUUAGAUGUUUUAAGUCCCCUCCUUCCAGACUUGGGAUUCUUAGAAACAACAAAAUAUGAUAAUAUUAUUGAAAAUAAGGGAAUUGCUAAAAGAUUAGCCUCUUUUGAAUGGUUUGGUUCUCAAUACAAGAUGUGAAGAAUACAAUGGAUAAUUACUUCAAAAUAGAGUGGAAGGAUCUUAAUAUAAUAAAAAAGUAACGCAAAGUUAUACUUUCUACCAUAUUGGGUAGUAAAAGGAUGAUAAUGAAAAUAAUUGGACUUCCAGACUUGGGAUUCUUAGAAACAACAAAAUAUGAUAAUAUUAUUGAAAAUAAGGGAAUUGCUAAAAGAUUAGCCUCUUUUGAAUGGUUUGGUUCUCAAUACAAGAUGUGAAGAAUACAAUGGAUAAUUACUUCAAAAUAGAGUGGAAGGAUCUUAAUAUAAUAAAAAAGUAACGCAAAGUUAUACUUUCUACCAUAUUGGGUAGUAAAAGGAUGAUAAUGAAAAUAAUUGGAUAGACACUAAAUAUAUAUGAUAUUUAUUCCUAUAUAAGAGACAAUUAAGUCUAGUAUGAAAGUUGGAAGUGUAACGGUGGAACAUACAUGUGCCCUCAAAUUGAGGGCACAAUUUCUUACCACCAUUUUUAUCUUAGACAUUUGAAUAAAGAAAAAUGAUAUUUGAGUAUUAAGAAGACAUUGCAAAGAUAGAAAGGACAGCUUUAUAGCAUGAACAAUAGCACUGUUUUUAUCUUCUUAGGCCAUGUUUGAAUGCUAGGAUUAAGUAAGAGAUUGAACUAAUUUUGAAAUUAAAUAUUUAUUUCAUAUUUGGCAAGCAGAGUUGGAUCGAACUAAGGAGGACUAAAUUUAAAUUUAGUCUUCAAAUCGUGAGAUUUGUAAUCUUAAUAUACUCAUGGAUUUAUUAGAAUAAAAUUAAGGAAAAAAGAAAGUUGUCCAUUUAUAAAAGUUUCAUUCAUAACAUUAUUUUUUAUUUAUACCGAAUAUCAAUCAAUCAAAUAAUUAAUUAAUUUUUUUUAUUUAUGAUUUACUUAAAAUUUAUUUUUUUAUUUAUUAUCUAUGAUCUAAUUAAAUUGGUAGUUUUACUUCUACUAGAUUAAAUUUUCAUUACUUGCAUUUAAUAAUUUUUCUAUAAAAUUAACCACUUAAUAAUUUAUUGCAUUAUUGAUUGUAAUAAAUUUAAUAAUCACUAAUACAAUACUAAAUUGAUCUUUUCACACUUUUAGUAGAUAAAUUAAAAAUUGUCUCUAAGUAGGGGCACCUUUCUCAAAUCCUUUUUAGAGUUGACCAUGGCGAUAAAAUGGAGAGUUAAGAGCAUAACAAAGUCAAGAAAUAAACAAAAAUAUAUUAAAAUUUGAUGUUGAAGAUCAGCCUUAAGACUUAAAAUUACACAGCACAGUAAAAUGAUUCUGACCAUAAAUUCAGCAUUCAACAAAGCUCAAUUUUACAACAUUACCCCUUCAACUGUAAACUUUCUUGAACACUCUUCUUUCUCCCUCAAUUGUUUCUCUUCUUUUCAAAAAAAAUAAAAGAAAAGAAAAAUUGUUUCUCCUCAAUCUGAUGAAAAGCCACUUGAAACCAGAGCUCUUUUUUUUUUUUUUUAUAGUAAAAAUCUGUUUCAGAAUAUCAUCGAACAAGUUCUCUAGCUUAAAAUUAUCUUGACAAAUCUUUUUUAAUUUUUACUUUUUUUAUUAAAUAUACAUUUCACAAUAUCACAUGAAUUACAUACACAAGUAAAUUUUUUUAAUUUAACUGCUGUACGGCCAAGGCGGAUGUACGGUACAGCAGACUGCAAACAGAGCUUGCAGCAUCGUUAGGAGAAGUAUGGCAAAAGCAGCAAGAACGGAGAUGAUUGCCCACGGAGUGCUGAAAUAAUUGUGCCUCAAAUUGGCCAUCCACUUAUUACGACGCCUGCUGCGAUGGAAGUUCACUUUGUUAAAUACCUCCCAGUAAUAGAACUGCUUACCGAGUACAGCACCAUCACCAAGCUUGUGAAUUAAGGUUACAAUCACUUCAUCAUCUCCUAAAAAAUUAUCAAUUAUUCCACGAUGACGAAGUAAUUCAGCAUCCUUUGAAGAGUUGAUGAGGCAGCCCAACAAUUCAACAUAAUCUAUUACAUGCUUCGGAUUUAUGUCUUGGGAACACUGCUCAAAUGUAAUGAGAUUCUGAAAAAUGGUUUCUGUAGCAUCAGUAAUUUCCAGGGAUGGGAUCAUCAUUACCCCAUUUUCGAACUUAAUGUCGAACAAGGAAUCAUCCUUAUGGACCUCAAACAUCUGGAACUGGAUUCCAGCCUCUUGAAUGCCAGUGGCAGAACAAAUGAAGCUCCAGUCACUAUUCUUUUUGCCAUUAUUCCGAAAUGCUUCAAUGCCUGAUGGAAGCCAGUUGUCGUGUAUCAAAUGGACUAGAUGUUUGAUUUCAUUUAUGGGAUAGAGAUUAUCUCGACGAACAGUAUCUUUUCGACAGCCCUUUCCUGGUAAUAUGCCAUUGAAAAAACGCAGGAUCAUGAGAAGAAAUUUAUCACUAUCUUGAUCAUUAGGGAUCUUAGUCAUGGUAAACAACUCCCAGAGAACAAAAAAUGGAAGUUGAUUCUCAAGCAAAAUCAUAUCUCGUGCUAUGGAAGGUAACAUCCAACUCAGUUCAAAAAUUGGGUCAUUUCCUCUCAAACGUGUCAAUGCAAACUUACGAAUAACCUCAACGAUAAAACAACCAUCGAGAAGCAUCAUUAGCACAAAUUUAUCUGUCUCUAAACUUAGGGACCCUCCAUAACAAUUUUUAGCUCUUUCUUCCAUUGCCCUCAUGGCCGUGACAUAGUCUGGCAAAGGCUUGCUCGUACGGUGUAGAAGUUCUCUGAGAUAGCGUGUUUUGUGCACUUCAAAGGUCGAUAAUUCUUCUUUACCGUGAUGAUAAGGACCAAUUGCUAGCAUUUUUGGUUCAUAAGCCUUUUCAUUUAACUUACGCAGUACAUCAGGCACCUUAAAAAUGUUGAACCGAUCAGAUGGUGUAGCAGUUAGACC
Molecule: long non-coding RNA, 16671 nt
Filed under: Citrus sinensis (sweet orange)
Lineage: Eukaryota; Viridiplantae; Streptophyta; Magnoliopsida; Sapindales; Rutaceae
Description: long non-coding RNA (CSIN_LNC003816)
Source: RNAcentral